This 79-nucleotide transfer RNA is filed under the name Treponema vincentii ATCC 35580. Its description in RNAcentral is "tRNA-Met". It matches the Rfam family "tRNA". From Rfam's summary of the family: Transfer RNA (tRNA) molecules are approximately 80 nucleotides in length. The record is from RNAcentral. Lineage: Bacteria; Pseudomonadati; Spirochaetota; Spirochaetia; Treponematales; Treponemataceae.
UGGGCCUAUAGCUCAGUUGGUUAGAGCAGCGGACUCAUAAUCCGCGGGUCGCCGGUUCAAGUCCAGCUGGGCCCAUUUU